This 974-nucleotide long non-coding RNA is filed under the name Selaginella moellendorffii. RNAcentral describes it as "long non-coding RNA (SMOE_LNC000695)". The record is from RNAcentral. Lineage: Eukaryota; Viridiplantae; Streptophyta; Lycopodiopsida; Selaginellales; Selaginellaceae.
UCGCCUAGACCGAUCGAGGCCGGGGUUUCACUGCUCGAGGCGGAUUUAGGAGUUAGGAGAACGGGUUCUAGAUAAGUUGCUCUCGCGCUUGAUCCGCUCGCCCCUUCCAGGAUGCUUGACAUCAAACCGCGUCUCGCUCUGGAUCGUUCAAGAAGCCUGUGAGUUCACCCGGUGGUGGAUGAAGAGAUGCAGAUACUUGUCUUGGGGCUCCAUCGCGAUGGUUCUAAACGUUUCUGAGGUACUAUGAAAGAGCAGAUGAUUUAUCAACCAGUUUGGUUCACGAACUCGGAGUAGUUCAACGAACAUAACUUUUUUGAACUUCUAAUGCCAGGAACAUGCAUCACAUUUUACUGAGUACAAGCGGCACUCCAUGGAUAGGCUUCAAGCCAAACUUCAUCGCAGGAUUAUGGCGGUAGUUCGGUGAAAGCCGGAACAAGAAUCGCUGUAGUAUCAUAGCCAGAAUGACUUUGGCUUCGAUCAUCGCAAACGACUGGCCCACGCACACCCGCGGCCCAAACGAAAACGGCAUGAAAGCAUUGGGAUGCUUGCACGCGCUUGAGAUCCCAGCUUUGAAGCGAUCCGGAUUGAAUUGGCCUGCAUCUUCUCCCCAGAGCUCCUUAUCCUGAUGCAAUCCAACAAUUGGAAACGACACAGAUACUCCUCUUGGAACGUGUAAAUCUUGCAGCCAAGACUCCUCCACACACUCCCUGGUCAUCUCGACUACUGGUGGAUACAGGCGCAGAGUUUCGUAAAGGAUCAUUCCCACCUGUUCAAGAAUCAAGAAGUUAAGUUUUGGAAUUAGGAGAUAUUGAUCGACUUACGAGCUUGAGCCUGCUGACACUCUCACCAUCAGGAAUCUCAUUGCCACAUACUUCGUGCACCUCAGCACGGGCGCGUUCUUGCCAUUCAGGAUAGCCUCCCAGUAGCAUCAAAGUCCAGGUUAGUAAGAUGGCUGUGGUCUCAUGGCCCGCAAG